CGGCGGAUCGGCGCGGGGCCUAUUUGGCUGUGACGCCUAGCCCAGGUUUCUACCGUCCUAUGCCCUAGGGCUCAUCUAAAACCUAAGAUGGCGGCAUUUGCAUAGGGUGUAAGCGCUGCAGGCAUACUUUAUGUGAAAAGACGGCCAAAGGACGAGUCUCCUAAGGAAUGUCCAGAAACUUGCGGAUAUUUGCGUUGUGAUUUUUAAAAACUUUAAACAGUGCAGUCAAAGCCUCCUCUUCAUCACAUGCCACAAGUGUUUUUUGUUUUGUUUUGGCUGCUCUACACAGCCUCUGGAAUUUUGUUCUCCAACCAGGGAUCGAACCCCAUGAUCCCUGCAGUCAGAGUGUGGAAUCUUAACCACUGGACUACCAGAUGCUUGAUUUGUGGCCCAGGUUGUAAUCCCUGGAGAAUGUCCCAUGUUUACUUGAGAAGAAAGUGUAUUCUGCUGCUUUUGGAUGGAAUGUCCUAUAAAUCACAGGAUUUAUAUCACAGUUAAAUCUAUAAGGUCUGAUGUGUCAUUUAAGGCUUGUGUUUCAUUAUUAGUUUUCAGUGUAGAUGAUGUGUCCAUUGGUGUUAGUGAGGGUAAGCAAACCUUUUAAAAAUCAAUUAAUUUGAUAAGCUACCUGCUAUAAUCUCCAAGAAAAAAAGAGAUGAUAAAAUUAUCAAUAUCAUGAAUAAAAUAAGUGACAUUAUUACAAAUUGUAAAGACAUUUAAAGAUAUUAAGACACCAACUAGUUUAACCUCCCUCAAAAUAUAUUAUUUGAAUAAACCUAUACUUACGAAUCAAUUAAAAUUUGUUUUUAAAUAAUCUUUCAAAUUGUAAAUUUUGGUGGAGGAAAUCAAUCACCCAGCAUUACUAGUUAGUAGAGAAAUACAAAUCAAAACUAUAGUGAGAGGUAUGUGACCUCACAUGAGUCAGAAUAGCUGUCAUAAAAUCUAUAAACAAUAGAUGCUGGGGAGCUUGUGGAGAAAAGGAAACCCUCCUAUACUGUUGGUGGGAAUGUAAAUUUGUAUAGCCACUGUGUAGAAUAGUAUGGAAGCUUCAUAGGAAACUAAAAAUAGAGCUACCAUAUGACCUAGCAAUCCCACUCCUUGGCAUAUAUCUGGAGAAAACCAUAAUUCUAAAGGAUACAUGUACCCUUGUGUUUAUUACAACACUAUUUACAAUAGCCAGGAAAUGAAAGCAACCUAAAUGUCCAUCAGCAGGGGAGUGGAUAAAGACGUGGAACAUAUAUAGAAUGGAGCAUUACUUAGCUGUAAAAAAAAAGGAACGAGGUAAUGGCAUUUGCAUAGGCCUAGAGAUUGUCAUUUAGAGUGAAGUGAAUCAGAAAGAAAAAAACAAUAUUGUAUAAUAUCACUUAUAUGUGAAAUCUCGAAAAAUGGUAUAGAUGAAAUUAUUUUCAUAGCAGAAGUAAGAGUCACAGAUGUAGAAAACUGACAUGUUUUCCAAGGUGGGAAAUGGUGAAGGGGUGGUCUGGGAUGAAUUGGGAAAUUGGGAUUGACAUAUAUACACUACUAAAUGUAAAAUAGAUAACUAAUGUGAACCUUGAGUAUUGCACAGAAAACUCUACUCAGAGCUCUGUGGUGACAUAAAUGGGAAGGAAAACUAAAAAGCAGUCAAUUAAUUGAGAAACGUACUUUAUGGAUUUGAAGACUCAUCAAUAGUAAGGAUGUCAAUUCUCAAAUUUAUCUGUAGAAUUAAUAGUAUUCCAAACUUGAUCCAAGCAGUUAGUACACUGUCUACCUACUAAAUAAUUUCAGUUAUUUUUGUAUGAUUGACUGUUGAAAUUAGUGACCAAAAAAUACAUUACAAAUAAUCUUUUUGCAGAACUUAUUCUUCAGCUUGAGGCUCCUCUGAAGAUCAGUUUUCCAUUAGUCAAAUUAAUUUAACAACUAUGAGAUCUUAAUUUUUUAAAAUGAUUCAGUACAAGGUAUCAUAUAGAUAUAAAACAUAUUUAAUUGACAUAUGACAUAAUCCUAUAUUUUCAAACUUUUUAUAAAUGAUAUUCUGUUAUACAUUUUCUUAUUUGGUUCCCCCAAACUUUUAUAUUUCUCUAUAUUCCUUUUAUUGGUGUAUUUUUUAAAAUGUAUAAAGAACGAGAUAUAGUAUUAUGAAGUUGAUUACUGUGAGGAUUAGUUUCAUAUGUUGUUGAACAUUUAAACUACUGUGCAAUUUUGCUUCCUCAGCCUCCAUUUUGUAUGGUUCAGUCUCUUGCAAGGGCUUGAACUGACACUGGCCUCUCCCAAGAAUACAUGUCAUAUAUAACAACUGUCUAUGUAUGUACUCAACCACUCAGUCUGACUUGUUGCAACCCCAUGAACUGUAGCCUGCCAGGCUCCUCUGUCCAUGGGGUUUCCCACGAAAGAAUAUUGGAGUGGGUUGCCAUUUUCUACUCCAGGGGAUCUUACUGAUCCAGGGAAAGAUCCCAUCUCUUAUGGGCUUAUAUCUUAUAUCUCUUACAAAUGGCAGAUGUCUUCUUUACCACUUGGCCACUUGGGAAGCCCAUAUAACCACAGAGGCACAAGUGUAUAUGUGUGUGUGCAUAUAUAUAUGUAUAUAUAUGCACACACACACAUACAAAUAUGUAUAUAAAAUUCAUAGUAGUUGGGUAUCUUCUUAAACCAGGCUUCUCUGUCCAUGGGGACUCCCCGGCAAGAAUGCUGGAGUGGGUUGCCAUGCCCUCCUCCAGGGGAUCUUUCCAACCCAGGCAUCAAACCUAGGUCUCCUGCGUUGCAUGUGGAUUCUUUACCGUCUGAACCACCAGAGAAGCCCUGGGAGAUAUCAUGUGUAAGUAACAGCCUCUCUUAUUCCAAUUUUUAGAAAAAAAUAAGUUGUAGCAGACAAACCAUAAGAUAACUCCUAAUGAUUUCUUGUCCACUAGUGUUCACGUCUUUGUUUAUUCCCCUCCCCUUGUGUGCACACAGUACCUGUAACUUUUUACCAAUAACAAAUUGUAAACAAUGGCAAAAGUAAUGGAAUGUCAUUGGCUUGAUUAGGUUAUAUUAUAUGAUCCAGAAUCACUUCUAUGAUUAUAUCAUGUUAUAUAAAACUAUCUUAUCAGACUGCAGGAAGAAACUCAUUACUGUUUUGAAAAUAUAAGCAGUAUGUUGGGGCGACACAUGGGAAACAGAUACUAUGUGCACCAGUCUCCUGCUGGCAGCCAGCAAAAUGUCUGGAAGUUUGGUUUCAAUUCAAUAACGUGAUUUCUGUCAACAACCUGAAUGAACUUGGAAGUAUAUUCUUUCCUAACUAUUCCUUCAUAUGAGAGUAUAGUCUAGCCAACAUGUUGAUUACAGUCUAGUGAGACUCUUAAGUGGAGGCAGCUAAGGUGUCCCGGAUCCUUGGCACACAGAUAACAUGAUCAAAUACAUGUGUGUUAUUUAAAGCUUUUACGUUCAUGGUAAUUCUAGUCAGGAAUAGAAAACAAAUACAAGAUUUAAAGUGAAACUUAGUUGAUUGUAAAUAACCUAUCUUUCAAGUUUUUUCUCCAAGGUCAGAGUUUAAUCCUUAUUUAAUUUAUUUAACCUAUAGAGAACCCAAUGAAGAAUCCCUGUGACCUAAGAUGGAAAAAGGUUAUGUUGUAUUGAAUGACAUUUUCUAAACAACAUACCAAGAUUGUCAACAUGUGAAGUGGUAGGGUAUGCUGUUACAUAAAUAAGCCAAAGAUAGUCCCAGUACAUUGGCCCUACAUUUUUUCCUUCACAGCGGUCCAGAAUACCUAACAUGAAAGCCCACCAGUGUUUAACUCAGUUAUUAACACAUUUUACAAAUAAUACAUUGUACACAAUUGCUUUAAAUGUGCCCUUAUAAGCAUAUUUUUUAGACUUUUAGGGCUUGCCUGAUUGUAUACUUGGAAAAACUGCACUUACAAAUCUGUUGGCCACAAAUAAGGUAAACCCUGGUAGUAUGAAUGAUGCCCGAGCCACUUAUGCCCUUCACAGGUCUCUGAACCAGAUGCCCCAUCUUGCUGUUGAGUGAUACCAUCUCGACAAUAAGUCCCUUCUCCUAGUCUCUUUUUUUCCUGGGAGUUAUUUUGCCUUCUUAUCCUUCUGAUUGAUGGGCCUCUGGAAGGUCUCAUGCUCUGAAUAACUUCCACAUACCCUAUCGUUCAUACGAGUCUAUUAAAGAAGCACGCAAAUAAAGCUCAUUGUAUGUUACUGCCACCUUGUGGUCACAUAUUUUUCCUCAACCUCAGAAACCCCCUGAAGCUCAGAGUUUCAUGCUAGAAAUUGACACUAAGCUUUUAAAUGUCUCCUUUUCUGUAGAGGUCAGAGUUUUAACAGAGAAGCUGUCUAUAUCUUGAAUCCUUUUGAAUACUCUUUGACCUGUUCUACAAAUAUCUUUUUCUGGUUACCAUUGGAAAGGAUUAUCAUCUAGUAUAUUUUUUAGAAUUGCUUUAAAAAUUUUAAUACUUUUGUUUUCAAUACAAGUAUGUUUAUGAGCUAUCUACUGUUGUGUAAAAGUUUGCCCCAGUGGUCCAGCGAUUAGGACUCCACACUUUCACUGCCAGGGGUCUGGGUUCAGUCUCUGGUCAGGGUACUAAGAUCCUGCAAACCGUCUGGAGCGACCAAAAAGAAAAAGAAAACAUUGCCCCAAAAUAUGAUGGCUUAAACCAACAAACAUUAAUUUCCUUGCAGUUUGUAGGUGUGAGAACUUUGCGUGUAGUUUAGCUAAUAGCUCUGGCACAGCAGUUCUGAGAAUAUGGGAGCCAGGAAGUCUGAUGAGACUGGAAUCAUCUGAAGGUUUAACUGGGUUGUAGGAUUCACUUGUAACAUUGCUGAGUCACAUUGCUUUUGGUAGGAAUACUUCAUUCCUUCUAUGUGGGCAUCAGUGCAGCAGUUGGAUUUUUUCAGAGUGAAUAAUCCAAGAGAGAGAUCAAGGAAGAAACAUGUAAUACCUUUUGUGAUAUAGUCCUCCUGAGUCGUGUACGAUCACUUCUGUUUUGCAGCCACCUCCUGUUGCAGACUUCUCAGGUGGCUCAGUGGUUAAAAACAAAAACAAAAACAUCUGCCAGUGCAGGAGACAGCAUAGACUUGGGUUCAAUCCCUAGGUUGGGAAGAUCUGCUAGGAAAGGAUGUGGCAAGCCACUCUAAUAUUCUUGUCUGGAGAACCCAUGGACAGAGGAGUCUGAUGGCCUUUAGUCCAUAGGGUUGCAAAGAGGCAGACACGACUCAGGGACUGGGCACACAACACACCUGUUGCUAUGGCAGUGAGGGAAGUGUUGGAAGGAUCUGUUUGAAACACUGUGUGAUGUUAAUCGUGUUCGUGUGAGCAGUUUGUCUCCAACAAAUUAUGUAUCACAGUAAAAAGUGAUUUUUCCUUGUUUUUGUGUAUUUUUCAUAUUAGUGCAAUACUGUAAACCUUGUAUUACUGUAACAUCAUGGUACUGAUUUGAAAUGCCACUAGUGAUGCUGGAAGUGCUCCCAAGAAGCAGGGAAAAGUUGUUACAUUAUAAGAAUGACAUUACAUAUACUUGCCAUUUCAAGAUAAAUCCAGUAUAAAAAUCCAUUGUAAAAAAAAAAAAAGGAAAUUUGGAAAGUCAUUGCUGUGGCUAACAGCAAACCUAAAAACCUUCCACUUUUUGUGAAAUAACUUUUUUUUAAAUCUCAUAUUGAAAAUUGAGAUUAAAUUGAAAAUUGAGAUUAAUUGAAAAUUAAAUUGAAAAUUUAAUCUCAUAUUGAAAAAUUCUGUGUAGGUGCAGGAUAUUAGUAAGUCACCACCUAUAGACUCUAUAUUCAAAAUAAAGCAAUGUCAGUAUAUGGCAAAGUGAAAGCAAGGUGAAGGCCCACAAAGUAUGGUUUGAUCAUUUUAGAAAGAGGUUAGCUUAUAAAAAUGUCAAGAUAACAACAGAAGCAACUUCUGCCAUUGAGGAGACUGCAAACAAGUCCCCAGAUACCAUUAAGAAAAUCACUGAGGAGAAAGGAUACCUUCUUGAGCAGGUUUUUAAAAUAUAGACAGAAGUGCCCUAUCCUGAGGGGAGAAUACCACAAAGGACUUUUAUUAGUAAUGAACAGAAGCAAACAUCAGGAUUUAAGGAAGAAAGGGAUAGGAUAACUUCUGUUUUGUGCAAAUGGAUUUUAGUUUAUGAAUAGGACUGCCUUUACCUAUAGAGCUGCUAACCCCUCAGCCUUGACAAGAGAGGAUAAACACCAUCUGCCAUUCUUUUGGUUGUACAGGAAGAAGGACUGGAUGAAAACCCUUUUUUGUGGAUUGGUUCCAUUAAUACUUUGUCCCUGAAGUCAAGAAAUACUUUGCCAGUAAGGGACUGCCUUCUAGGGUUCUUCUGAUAUUGGGCAAUGCCCCUGGUGGUCCAGAACCCCAUUAGUUCAAUACUGAAGGCAUCAAAGUGAGUGAUUUAUGCCCCCAAACACAAUGUCUCUACUUCAGCCUAUAGAUCAGAGGUUCAUAAGAUCCUUUAAAGCUCGUUACACACACAGUACUAUAUGGAAAAGUUUCCCAGUGCUAUGGAAGAGAUUUACGAUAGAGUGUCAUAAAAGUGUGGAAGAAUUACACCAUUGGAGAUGUCAUCAUUGUUAUAUAAAAAGCCAUUAAGCCCCAACCAAUAAGUUUCUGAUGGAGAAAACUGUGUCCAGAUGUUCUGCAUGACUUCAUAGGAUUUAUUACAGAGCCAAUCAAAUAAAUCAUGAAAUGGAUUGUGGAUAUGACCAAAAAAAGAAAAAAGAAAUAAUGGGAAGGGGUGAGUGUUUUAAGAGAUGGAUCUUGGAGAAACUCAAGAGCUAAUAGACACCACACCAGAGAAUUACAGAGAACAACUUGAUGGAGAUGAGUGUUUCUGAACCAGUACCAGACGACAAGGAAGAAGACUUAGUAGCAAUGCCAGAAAACAUAUUGACAUUAGACAAUCUAGCAAAGUGUCCAAUUACUCGACUACUUUUGACUUCUUUUAUAACAUGCACUCAUCUCACACACUAGUUAAGUAAUGCUUAAAAUUCUCCAAGCCAGGCUUCAGCAAUACAUGAACCGUGAACUUCCAGAUGUUCAAGCUGGUUUAGAAAAGGCAGAGGAACCAGAGAUCAAAUUGCCAACAUCCGCUGGAUCCUCAAAAAAGCAAGAGAGUUCCAGAAAAAUAUCUAUUUCUACUUUAUUGACCAUGCCAAAGCCUUUGUGCGGAUCACGGUGAACUGUGGAAAAUUCUGAAAGAGUUGGGAAUACCAGACCACCUGACCUGCCUCCUGAGAAAUCUGUAUGCAGGUCAGGAAGCAACAGUUAGAACUGGACAUGGAACAGCAGACUGGUUCCAAAUAGGAAAAGGAGUACGUCAAGGCUGUAUAUUGUCACCCUGCUUAUUAACUUAUAUGCAGAGUACAUCAUGAGAAAUGCUGGGCUGGAAGAAGAACAAGCUGGAAUCAAGAUUGCCGGGAGAAAUAUCAAUAACCUCAGAUAUGCAGAUGACACCACCCUUAUGGUAGAGAGUGAAGAACUAAAGAGCUUCUUGAUGAAAGAGGAGAAUGAAAAAGUUGUCUUAAAGCUCAACAUUCAGAAAACUAAGAUCAUGGCAUCUAGUCCCAUCACUUCAUGGCAAAUGGAUGGGGAAACAGUGGAAACAGUGACUGACUUUAUUUUUCUGGACUCCAAAAUCACUUAAGCUGAUGAUUGCAGCCUUGAGAUUAAAAGACGCUUACUCCUUGGAAGGAAAGUUCUGACCAACCUAGACAGCAUAUUAAAAAGCAGACAUUACUUUUUCAACAAAGGUCCAUCUAGUCAAGGCUAUGGUUUUUCCAGUGGUCAUGUAUGGAUGUGAGAGUUGGAUUAUAAAGAAAGCUGAGUGCUGAAGAAUUGAUGCUUUUGAACUGUGGUGUUGGAGAAGACUCUUGAGAGUGCCUUGAACUGCAAGGAGAUCCAGCCAGUCCAUCCUAAAGGAGAUCAGUCCUGGGUGUUCAUUGGAAGGACUGAUGUUGAAGCUGAAACUCCAAUACUUUGGCCAUCUGAUGUGAAGAGCUGACUCAUUUGAAAAGAUCCUGCUGCUGGGAGAGAUUGAGGGCAGGAGGAGAAGGGGGUGACAGAGGAUGAGAUGGUUGGAUGGCAUCACCGACUUGAUGGACAUGGGUUUGGGUGGACUCUGGGAGUUGGUGAUGGACAGGGAGGCCUGGUGUGCUGCGGUUCAUUGUGUCGCAAAGAGUCGGACACGACUGAGCAACUGAACUGAACUGAACUGAUAACAUGGACCCUUCCAUGAUACAGGUGCUGAAACUAAAACAGUGGAAGAAGGAUUUGUACCCUAUAGAAACAGUUUUAUAGAAAUGAAAAGGUAAAAAUUUCAGACAGAAAUUAUGAUGUACUUCUGUAAAGUUACCUGUAAAGUGCCCACCUCUCCUGCCUCCCCUUCUGCCUCCUCCAUCUUCUGCCUUUACCAUUCCUGAGACAGCAGGAAUGGUGCUCCUUUUCCUCCUCAGUCUACUCAACAUAUAAAUGGUGAGGAUGAAGAGUUUAUGAUGAUCCAUUUCCACUUAUGAUAGUAAUCAUAAUUCUCUAUAGAAACUUAACUGUUGUGUGCCUAUUAGAGUCUUCAAAUGAAUAUCUAAUAAACUUACAGCAAACACUAUAUGAGACCUUUUUUUGUCAUCAUCCCAUAAGUAUUCAUUGUAUAGAACAUCCUAUACAAGACUUGUAUUGAUCUGAUAACCUAUCCUUACGUAGGCAUAAUGUGAAUGACCCUUAAUAUAAAGUUAAUAAUUGGUUACUUUCCUUACUGUUUUAUAACUUUACUUUGAAAGAAAUACAUUGUAUUACAGUAUACUUAUAUCUCUCAUCAUUGAAGAAACCGUGUAUCAAUUUAUCAUCACAGAUAAAUGGCUUUUUAAGAGUGUAACAAUGUUUCCAAUACUGUAUUAUUAGUAUGAUUGUAAUAUUGUGUGCUAUGAAAUUUUUAUAACAUUUCAUUCAUUAGUAUAUAGUCUUAUAUUGAUUACACUAGGCUAACAUAAAGCAGUCAUAUCGUUGAUUCUGUUAUCAAUGUAUCAAUCAUACUUAUAAAUAUGAAUUUAUUUUUUUACAUUAUUUAAUUUUUGAUGUCUGAUGUUAACAAUAUGUAUUAUAUCUGUAGUGUUUUGUAUCAUAUAAAACAAUAUUGAUGUGGGUACUGACAGACAAUUCAUCUUGUAAACAGAUGUUAACUUAUGAUAUCAUUAAUACAGUACUGUAAAUGCAUUUUCCUUAUGACUUUCAUAAGAUUUUUUUCUCUAGCUUACUUUAUGAUAAGAAUAUAGUAUAUUAUAUAUAUGGCAUACAAAUAUAUGUUAAUUGACUGUUUAUGUUAUCAGCACCAUUUCUGGUUAACAGUUGGCUAUUAGUAAAGUUUUUAGGGAGUCAAAACUUAUAUGCGGGUAUUUGACUCCAUGAGGGUUUGGUGGCCUAGCCUGCACAUUGUUCAAGAGUCAGCUGUAUUUGUUAUAAUGAGACAUCUAUAAAAAAUAAAUUGGUAAAAUCAAAAGAA
This is a long non-coding RNA of Dama dama (fallow deer), 9458 nucleotides long. RefSeq lists it as uncharacterized. The record is from RefSeq and is a predicted model, not a curated record. Lineage: Eukaryota; Metazoa; Chordata; Mammalia; Artiodactyla; Cervidae. The transcript is spliced from 4 exons.